Molecule: long non-coding RNA, 2603 nt
Filed under: Medicago truncatula (barrel medic)
Lineage: Eukaryota; Viridiplantae; Streptophyta; Magnoliopsida; Fabales; Fabaceae
Description: long non-coding RNA (MTRU_LNC008709)
Source: RNAcentral
UUUUCUUUUGGUGUAGCCUAUUUUUUAACUCAUUAUACUCUUCACUUAUUGCAAAAAUUCCAAAAAGGUGGAAGUUGGUUACCAUAUUUCAUAGUCAAAACAUAACUUCUCUUUCAUUUUAAAAAUCACCAAAAUCAAAACAUAACUGCCACGAGAGAUAUGAGGGGAGUAGAGAUUCAAGAGGAAGAAAUAAGGAUUGAGAAAACAUCACACCCCUGAAAAACGGGCUGUUAAUCCCUUUUUAUCGAAAAAAACCUCUCAUACUGAUAGUAAAUUUGAUUAAUAUGAUUCUUUAUCGUAUCUGCAAAAAUAUUAUAUCUUUGAAUGAAGAAGGGAAAUUGUGUGUCACUUUUUUAUUCCAAGUUAGUUUCUUUUUACAAAUUCUUAUGAUUAUUGUUCUUACCAUUAUCUUUGCAUGAUUUAUGCAAUAAAAUUCAAGUAUCAGGGUUCAACUUUCUUUUUAUAUCUCAAAAUGGAGAACCACACCAAGCAGAAGUCACAAGGGAGUUUGAUAUUCUUCAAUUAUAUUGUUAAAUUUUUCUAUUUUAUCAACCUAUUAUAUUCUUCAAUUUUUAUUAUUCUAUUUUUGGUUUCUAUUUUAUGCUUAUCUUUUCUUAUCAUUAUUUUCCUUUGAAACUUGAAUUUGUAUUUGUGAGCCUUUAUUCUUCAAUUGUUUGUUUCUAUUUUAUGCUUAUCUAUUCUUAUCAUUAUUUUCCUUUGAAAUUUGAAUUUCUAUUUGUGAGCCUUCUUAUGUCAUGAGGGUUAAUUGUUACUGAUUAUAAUACUUCUUGAUCAGACUCUUGAAUUGUUAUCAGUAAACUUUGGAGCAAAUGAAUUAGGUAAGGCCAAUGGGAAAUGAUCCAAACGGAUUGUAACUCUCCAAACUACACCGGAAGUAUAUACAAGAGACAAGCUCCUAUUGUACCAAUGUGAGAUUUCUUCAAUUUCCUUAGCAUAUUUUCCUUUUUGUUACAAUAUUAUUCUUUAGUUAAUAGGCAUGUACUGCCUUCUGUAAAUAAAAAGAACAAUGUAAUUGAUAUGGUAGAAAAAAUUACUCCAAACUUUUGCACUUUUAAUUAUGGAAAAUCUCCUGCUCAAAAGUAAUAUUUUCUAUUCCAAACUUUUUUGACGCAUGUAAUAUAUACAUAUGUUAGCGCCCGACUGCACAAAAAUAAAUGUUAGACUAUGUAAAUAUCUUUUAUGUUUAGCAUGUAUCUUUUAUUUAUAGUAACGUCGUGAUGGUCAAAUUAGUAAAUGACUUGGUCGUAAAGACCGUAAUGAAUUGAUAAUCAACAAAUCUCAAUUCAUCGGGUUUUUUAAUUCUAGGUUAGAAAUUUUAUAUAUUAUUUUUCUAUGUGGUGUUAAAAAAGUUCAUCAGAUUCUUUUAAUUGGACUGAAUUUUUUUUAUUGUUGGGGAUUUAGGAGUUGUUGUCAUCCAAUUAAAAAAUGCUUCACGGUUUCACAAUCAACCCCUCUCUCCGUUUAACCCAAUUAAAAUAUGGUUAUCCUAUUGGAAAAUUCUAUGGUGAAGUUAUGAGAAUGACUUUUUUGGUGAAGUUAAUAUUAUGAUAUCAAAAUUUCAGUCAUUAUAGUAUCAUCAAUUCAUCAGAUUAACAAGACUACACUUAAUCUAAUUUUAACAUACAUUGUUAUAAGCGUAACACCCCACAAAGUGUAACACUUAAAAUUAUCACAUAAUAUCAUCAAGUCUGUUUGCAUGUUAAGGAUUCCGACAAUAAAAUAGUACUUGUAAGUCCAAGAUAUUGUAGACAUUACUAGAUGAAUUACUAUUGAUCAUUAAUCAGUAAUCAACGAUUUAAAAAUGAAUCAAAUAUUAAGAUCAAAAUUAACUUUUUCAAAAAAGUCAGUUUCCCGACUGCACCAUAGAAGCUCCCUAUCCUAUUACAUCCACUAGUGACAAAAACCGAAAGAAAUAGAAAAUAAUGUGUAUAAGCAAAGGGAUAAAGAAGAAGAAGAAGAAGACGUAAUGGUUGAGAAAGAGGGCACUAUUUGCGUUUUGUAACCAUCAAUAUUCCUCUUAGUUAACUUUUAUUGCUUUAAGUUCAAAGAAAAUGUUGUAGUGUCAUGUUUCCUUUAAUAAUGUUAUUGUUAUCUCAUUUGAUUUUUACUUUAUUCAUGAGCAAUAAAUACAAGGAAAAAUGAUAUAGAUAAACACCGCUGCAACUGAGAUGAGGUGAGGAAAAUUGAAAGAAAGCUAAAAGUAGAGUACAGAGGUUGUCACAGAAACAGUGCAUUAGGCAGCGGCUAUGAAUAAAUGUAAUGUUGGAGUGUGGCUUCCAUAUACCACCAAUCGGCAGGAAGCGCUCUCUAUUCUUUUUUUAUUUUUAUUUCCUUCUUUUACUCUCCUUUUGUUUUUUGUCUGUUAUUUCAAAAGUAGAAGUUACACUCAAAAAAAGGAACAAGCGAUUUAUAUCUAUGACCUCUUAUUCCAUGUUAUUUGUUAAUUAAAUUCAUUCAAACAAGUAACAAUGGGUUCUGUACUUCCUAUAGAACAUAGAAAAUGUCAUUGUUGUAUUAGAAUGGGAUUCUUUACAUAGUUGGUGAUCAACGAUUUAUGCAUUUCCUACAGUUUUGGGUUGCUA